CAGUCGUACCUUCGGGUAAUCAGCCUUUCGGGUGCGAUUCUGUGGAGUUUGAGGAGCUUAACACCUUCAUGCUUUGCAUAUUCGUGCUCUUGGGUGUACUUGCCCGUGUGGUUGGUUAACAUCAAUUUUGGUGGUCAUAAAAUGACUGGAGGAAUGUAGCUUCAAUCUCGUAUUGAAGUGUUAUAGCCUUCGGUAGAUGUGGUGAUCGAGAUUGAGGAUUGCAACGGAUACCUUUCGGGGCUACCUGCCUGAUCUCUGAUCACUGCUUUGGUGCUGAAAGCGUGCUUAUAGUUAUCAAAGUCGAUGGUUAAUAGGUUAGAAUGGGUUAAA
This 330-nucleotide ribosomal RNA is filed under the name uncultured Glomeraceae. Its description in RNAcentral is "partial large subunit ribosomal RNA". The record is from RNAcentral. Lineage: Eukaryota; Fungi; Glomeromycota; Glomeromycetes; Glomerales; Glomeraceae.